CAGCCGCCGCGGGAAUACGUAGGGUGCGAGCGUUAAUCGGAAUUACUGGGCGUAAGGCGUGCGCAGGCGGUUCGUUAAGACAGAUGUGAAAUCCCCGGGCUUAACCUGGGAACUGCAUUUGUGACUGGCGAGCUAGAGUAUGGCAGAGGGGGGUAGAAUUCCACGUGUAGCAGUGAAAUGCGUAGAGAUGUGGAGGAAUACCGAUGGCGAAGGCAGCCCCCUGGGCCAAUACUGACGCUCAUGCACGAAAGCGUGGGGAGCAAACAGGAUUAGAUACCCCAGUAGUCCCUGUCUCUUAUAC
Molecule: ribosomal RNA, 301 nt
Filed under: uncultured bacterium
Lineage: Bacteria
Description: partial 16S ribosomal RNA
Rfam family: Bacterial small subunit ribosomal RNA
Source: RNAcentral